Long non-coding RNA from Bombus impatiens (common eastern bumble bee), 3199 nucleotides. RefSeq lists it as uncharacterized. The transcript is spliced from 2 exons. The record is from RefSeq and is a predicted model, not a curated record. NCBI's taxonomy places the organism in Eukaryota, Metazoa, Arthropoda, Insecta, Hymenoptera, Apidae.
AAAUUGCACUUGCAAUAUUUGCGGUUAGAAAAUGAAGAAACUUCCUUUUUUCUUUAAAUUUUUAUACGUUAGAUCUAGAAACUAGUUUUAAAACUUGAAAUUGAUUACAUUGGAAUUUAAGAGAAACUCAGUUUUUAAGAGGGAUGGUUGAUGAAGUUAGUGGAGUGUACAUUCAUAUAAGUAUAAGUGGGCAUUUAGAAGUUAUGGCGUUUUAAGUUAGGUUGUAAUUAAACCAUUAAGGAACAAACAGUGGAAUAAUGCGUAAAAACUACUUGAAUUCAAUAUUCUUUUACAAUAAUAAAUUUGAAGAUCUGAAAAUUUGAAAUCUUGAAAAUUGAAGAUAUAAAAGAUUUAAAAAUGAAAUAUGUUAACGCAUCCUUGACGUUUGAUAGAUUAAUGGACCUAACCGAUGGUCUGUAAGACCACCCAAUGCGUCCCUGAGAUCACUCCUCACGUGUCAACAACGACGGAACUCGCGAAGCGGAAUAGCACCAGCACCAACAAAAAUUCCACUCCUCGGUGAAUUUCCUGAUUACCUGUCGCACCACUCUAUCCAUACUGUCGGAAGAUAUUCAGAAAACCGAAGCACCGUACGGAAUGCUGAAUUAUAGUGACGUUUUGCGUUAUAGCUGGCUUAUAUAGAGAGCUCGCCUACGCCUACAAAGAUUCAUUUCCUGUCGGGCACGGAUCCUUCUCCAGUACGAGGAUGAUCCGCGUGGAUAUUCCCCCGUGUAUAAAACUGGGGGUCCCUCCUUGUACUCCAGUUCACAUAGGAACGCCAACCGUGUGGAAAGCCCGCGCUUUAUUUCCCAUUGUUUCAGGUGUCUGGCAUGUGCGAUUUUGGGGCGGCGCUACUGUAUGAGAGGAACGCGUCUUCCAGAGCGGAGAAAGCUGAUUACUUCACCGCGUGAGACACAGCCUUCCAGCGGAUCUAACAUCAGGACUAAUUAGCCAAUCGGGCCUUAAUUAAGACACAGGACCAUUGUCCAUCCUCUUAAUCUCGUGGCGUAACACUUCUCUAAAUUUUCUUCCCAUAUCCUCAUACCAUACUAGGGAAUGACGCACAAUUUUAGGUUAUGUUGUUUUAAUACAAGGAGAAGCGGUGAAAUGAUUUCAUUCGUAUUCUAUCUUUGGUAAAUUGAAGGUAUUGUAGUGUCGAGCAUCUGGAAUUUUAAAGAAGUAUGUGCACGCAUCAGGAAAAAGUCGGGGUCGAGGUUGACGUCGCGAACUUGAUCUGAUCUGUACCGGUUUCUUCUAUCGAGUUGAUUUAUGAAAUGAAUUAGAAGGAGAAAAAAUUAGGAGUGACUGAUGGUCGAGGAUUAGAUUGGAAUAUAUGAUGCUGAUGAUCAGUUGGUUAUGAAAGUAGCUAAUUAAGGUAAUUACUGAUAUUUAAAAGAGGUACCAAAUGUCAGUAUAAUAAGCGGUACUAUACUAAUACGACCACCUAUUUUCGAGCGUUAUUUACAAGUCAUGAAUUAAUAAAAUUUAGCUUCAGUUACGUUUAUAGAAAAAUCCAAUACUUAUCAAUAUUUGAAAAAUUUAAAGAUAGAAGAAAUGAAUAGCUGAAGUGCAUAAAUAGAUAAAUGAAUGUGCAAAGUAUGUACUGAUAGUUAACAUUUAUGUGGCCGUAAUCUCGUUUCACCUGUUGCAUUUUUUUAAUUUGAUAUUAGAUUGAUUACCAAUAUUAGAACUAGUCUCUACUGUACUUUAAGAUUAGUAUUACUGUUAAAUAUUAAUAUUAGUAUCAAUAACUAUGUAUGAAUACUAAUGAAAUGCUUUAUAUGUCCAUCUUAUAUACCUGACAGGCCAAAAAAAAAUAUUUUGAUAGAGUGUUUGCUACUCCGUGAAGACAAUCGAAGUUGCGUCAGAGUACAGAGGGAGAUUUAUUUAUUCCAUCGUUGACAGACCGCAACGCAUCUCCGUGAGUGUCCAUAAUCUUGGUCAAUAAUAUUAUACAUGCAACGACGCGUGUCAAGGAAUGGCACGAGCUUGUGUUUAACGCAAAUGUGUAACGCAAACGAACGCUGGAUGGGACAAGAUCGGCACGCGGUCUUAUUUAGAAAGUAUCCUCCGUAUUUGAAUGGCGUGAAAAUUAUCUUUCGAACUGGUCAUUUCACCUAUGCGACUAUGUUAUUACAUUACUGUGAAUAAUCACGUUUCGUAAUUCAUCUCCGUUGAAUCCUGCUUCUUCUAUACCGGUGAAUGAUGACAUUUUAUUUAUCUGGUUCAUUCAAGCAAUAUUUAUAGUCUUGUUUCAGUUUAUCGAGGUUACCAGAAAGAAAAUCUAAUAAUUUAUUAGUAAUAAAUAUGAUGGUACUAAUUUGAGUGAUUUAUGGGAUGCCUCCCAUGGUGGUAUACUCUGAAAGUGCACAUUAUUAACCUAAUUGAAGGGUCGGACAAUGCAGUUCUAUAAAUGGUUGGUCCAACGAAGUAAUAAAUCCACAAUCAUAAUAAUUUUACAUUCUACUAGUUAUACUUAUAAUUUCUAAGGCGUGAAAUUUUACUUGACAUAUGAGUAUGAAUAGAUAAAUAUUGACAAUUUUCUUCUAAAUUAUAGAAUAACAUCGAGAAGUGGUAAUUAAUUAAGUCAUUCACCAGUCAAACAACUGAGAACAGUUUUUCAUGUCCUAGGACCUCUUUGAAGUUAGGCAAACGUAACGAAAUUAAUAAUAAUCGUUAAUCUUGUUUAGGACAAUAGGCGUAAUCAUGAGCUUACGAUCUAAUCUCUCGGAUCAAUGAGUCAAAUAAACCUAAUCAAGACCGGUUUAUUGUUUAUUUAGUGUGCGAAUUCUCACUUUCGAUUCCUUUCGUAACCUUUCCCUGAUUGUUCGCCGUUACGUGAACGGAAACAAUUGCGUUGCGAUAAACACAUACUCCCUCUAGGGACUAUUUGCUUAAUUAACAAUUCUUAGAAGAUUUCGGGGUAAUUCGUGCUCUAGUUACCGAAAAGUUGCCACUUCAUUGUUUCACUGAAAAAUUAUUUGGUCCCACCCUUAUUACGUAACGUACAAAUUUGCAUUAUCUUUGUUAUGAAAUUCUAUAAAAAGAAACAUUACCUUCUGGUAUUAUUAUAAUUUAUAUUUUAUUCUAAUUUAUGGUUAAAAUAACUUAAACUAUUUGAUAUUAUACAUCUUUGUUAUCAUGAUCCCUCGUAGCAUAUAUGUAAUGAAUGAUAGGAAAUUAAUUAUUUAUGAAAAUG